GCCCAUCGUUUUCCGAUGGAAGAGGUAGGGCGUUCAGCCUUGCUGGAGAACAUGCGAGGCGAAAUAACGCAGAAUAAAGAAAACGAAUCUUAGCCACCGUCCUAUCACACAGCGGUGGCCAUUCAUUAUGCUUUGUGAAAUUUCUUCCUUAAGAGGGUUUUUCAUCCAUAACGGUGCAUUUUCCACAUACUGACAUUCCUACUUGCGUCACGACUUCAACAUCCUUAUUUUAAAACUCGGUUUCACAUUUUUGAAAAACGGUUUUUGUGAUUUUCGUCGUUUUGAUUGAAAUAAUGCAAACGUUUUCUGGAAUGUUCUGUGUUCCUGUAAAACUCCAGUGCACAAUUCAUUAACUCGUGAUCCAAAGACAGCUGUCACCGUGUUCUCUUAUGAGGGCAGGAGCUGUGGUCUGUGUGUGUGUGUUUCAGUCUUUUGUCCUCAGUACCUGCAAGGACACUUAGAAUUUACUGGGUGCCUAAUAAACAUUGUGAAAUAAAGUAUUUAUAUUUCCCGUCAUUUUUCUUUAUACGUGUAGAAACAAUCUUUUCAUAGCACUGAGAGAUAAAAUAUAGUGAAGAAAACUAUCCACAGUUCCAUCAACAUGCCAUCAUCACUAAUCAUAUUUUUUUAUUUCCUUAGCGGUUUUCCAUCUAUAAAGGUACAUUUUAAACAUACUGAGAUUGAUGUUUGCAUCAUUUCUUUCGAAAAUUUUUAAACUAUUCUAUUUAGCAUUAAGGUGUCCC
RNAcentral lists this long non-coding RNA (743 nucleotides) under Homo sapiens (human). RNAcentral's name for it is "HSALNT0282716". Lineage: Eukaryota; Metazoa; Chordata; Mammalia; Primates; Hominidae. The record is from RNAcentral.